This 176-nucleotide ribosomal RNA is filed under the name Klebsiella pneumoniae. RNAcentral describes it as "partial 16S ribosomal RNA". It matches the Rfam family "Bacterial small subunit ribosomal RNA", at positions 1365 to 1533 of the family's 1533-position model. The record is from RNAcentral. Lineage: Bacteria; Pseudomonadati; Pseudomonadota; Gammaproteobacteria; Enterobacterales; Enterobacteriaceae.
AAUACGUUCCCGGGCCUUGUACACACCGCCCGUCACACCAUGGGAGUGGGUUGCAAAAGAAGUAGGUAGCUUAACCUUCGGGAGGGCGCUUACCACUUUGUGAUUCAUGACUGGGGUGAAGUCGUAACAAGGUAACCGUAGGGGAACCUGCGGUUGGAUCACCUCCUUACCUUAAA